GGACAAGGAGAACAGGUUCCCAACCCAGACAGGAGAAACAGAAAAGCUACCUGGAGAGGUGACAUUGACAUUGAAGUUGACUGAGUUUCUGCAGUUGUAUUUUUUAACCUGCAAGGCCAUUGACAAUGCAGAAGAACCCAGAUUUCAAGAGAAACAGAGCUAGAUUCAGACAACACCUCCACCACCACUUACUGUCUGCAUCAGUCAGGGUUUUAUUCAACAUUUGAAUCAUGCUCAAACUUGCAGACUUGACUUAAAGCUUAGAUGCUUCAUCUCCAAAAGAAGCUGGCCAUGGAGUACAACAAGGAAUCUAGUAGCAGUCUGGAGUUUUCCUCUAGAAAGUGCUGUGGUCUCAAAAUGCAGUCCUGGGUAUCUGGACACAAUCCCACAAAGGGUGACUGCUAAAAAGAAAAGAUUUCAGGAUUGAGGAACAUAGCUCCUUCUUCUAAUGCACACUAUGUUGGGAUGGUGGGAUGAAGGCCGAAAUUUUCCAGGUUGGAGUCUUUUGGUGGUUUGUUUGCUUAUCCUGUAUCUGGAGUUGAGAAGAAACCAAGUUUGAGAUUUAGGAUGUGGACAGGAGGUAGGAGUUUUGCCCAUAAAUUACAACAGAGUCUGAACCCAUGGGGACUGCCAAGAAGACAAAGUGGUCACAAUUGGCUUGGGCCCGAAGCCAGGGCCCCUGCAGAGCAGGAGCCCAGUUGGGGCCUCCUCCCAGAGCCAGUGCAGCUCUGCCUGUGCGUGGAUGAUAAGCUCUGUGCUGCUUCCUCUGAAUCAUGAAAACAAACAGACCGGGCCACGAUGGAAUAAAUGAAGCUGCAGAUGAAAGACAUUUUGAAGACGAACAUGAAUUAGAGGGUUGGAGGGAUCUGAUUUUGACUUUCACAUUCAUCUGCCUUCUCCUUUCAGCAGUGGGGCCAAGGUGGCCGGCCAAGCCACUGGGACUUCUACAAGGGCCUCUGCAGGCAGGAGGCUAGUGAAGACUUAGAGCCUGUAGCGUGGACUCACGCUCAGGAGAGCCAUGAAGCCGGGGCCUCGUCUGCAGCUUUCUUCAUUCACGCUGAGAAAGUUUGUCCUUCCUGCCACCCGUAAUUUUCCUGGAGAACUGAAAAUAACAAAACCAGAGGGAUAUCCACAGAGUCCAUAGGUUCCUAGGUUAGUUCUACACGGUCCCCUUCUCCUCCCAGAAACACGAGAUGUCAGAUUCCUCAAGAUUCCUUUGAGCUCACCCUAAACUGCUCGGGGCAAGAACAUCAGUCUGUUUGUCUCUUGAGACCGUCUCUGGCAUGUUUAUGAAAAGAUCACUGGAGACUCCAGUUUCACAAUCAACAAUGUACCUAAAAAUAGAAAAAAAUCUGUUCCAGGAUAAUUUUGUCUCCGAACAGCAAGAUCAACAAAAGAUGCCUUCAGGGAACAAGUGGUCCUUCACUGAAGUCUAACGAAGCUCUGAGCUGCCUCUCAGAGCAAGGGGAGGGUGUGGCUCCCAAACGUCCUCUUCCUCUUCCCAUCAGCUCACACUGACUGGCAGUACGGAUGAAGCUGUGAACAGUAAAUGGUGACUGUGAACCAUUCUGACGCCGUCACCUGGGGCUAGGUGGCACUGUUUAAUGAACCAUCUCUGCGCAAGGCAAGGCCCAGGGUCUAAUUGGUUGGAAAGCUUUGUAGGAAACCCAGAAUGCUAGUUGCCAAGACUCUCUUCCCCUAAGUUUUAAAAUUCCUAGGUAAUUCCCUGGAAAUGUAAUCCGGAUGUUCCUGACUCCUGUAUAUUUAAACCCAUCCCACUGUUGUUUCCAAAAGACAUUUUAUGGAUAUUCCAGGCGAGUGUUUUGUCUUUAUCCAAUCAAGGAAUGCCAUUAAUUAGAUUUAAAAAAGUCCACAGGGACUGCUGUGAAAUCUAAUUCUGUCUUAAGUUUGCUAACUUUUUUUUCCCUUUUUUCUUUUUCCUCUUUUUUUUUUUUUUUUUAAUUUACUGGCCUUGUUAAAUAGUCUAAGAAAACAGGAGAAAGAGUGUAACAUAACAUAGAGCAUCCUGGACCUUAGUACCUUCAGGCUGAACCUUGCUUUCUCUGAGCUGGCAAACUGGGAUCCCAUCAAAAAGCAGUGUCAAAAUAUGGAGUUUCCAGCAAGUCAGCUUAGGAAAGGGAGUAGAAGAGAAUAAAGUAGAAAUCAAUAUCCAUUCCUAGGUUCUUACUGCAUUGUAGGAAGCACUUUCUGUUUGUUUGUUUGUUUGUUUGUUUGUUUGUUUGUUUGUUUUGAGACGGAGCCUCACUCUGUCACCCAGGCUGGAGUGCAGAAGCACAAUCUUAGCUCACUGCAACCACCACCUCCCAGGUUCGAGUGGUUCUCAUGCCUCAGCCUCCUGAGUAGCUGGGAUUACAGGUGCUCACCACCACACCCGGCUAAUUUUUUGUAUUUUUAGUGGAGACGGGGUUUCACCAUGUUGGCCAGGCUGGUCUCGAACUCCUGAGCUCAAGUCAUCCUCCUGCCUCAGCCUCCCAAGGUACUAGGAUUACAGGCAUGAGCUACCAUGCCUGGCCAUAGGAAGCACUUUCUAUUCCAGUUGGUAGAUAACAGAGACAGCUUAUCCUUGCUAUGAUAUCAGCAGAUAACAGAUCCCAAAACACAGUGCAGAUUCAUCACGGGGUUUUAAAGUCACAGAGACUUGAAUCAAAGUUCUGUCCCCCUCCUCCCAUUCCUUAACUAUGUAUGUAGGACUUGAAUGAGCUACUGGAACUCUCUGAACCCUGUUGCCUCAUGUUUCAAGUGGAGGCAAUAAUAUUUAACUCAUCACUUUUAACUAAUGUUUAUUGAGCACUUACUAUGUGCCAGAUACUGUGCUAAGAGCUUUCCAUGCAUCAUUUUAUUUUACCCUUAUGAUUUCCUUAUUCUAUAGGCAUGAGAACUGACACUCACAGCAUUCACACAGCAUGCCAAGUGGCAAAUCUGGAACACAAACAUCGCUCUUUAUGACUCCAGAGUUAUCAUCCUGCUGCUGUGAGUAUGAAAUGGCAUAAGACAUGUACAGGGUAGGGCUCAUAGUAGCUACGGAAAAGAACCAACACUAAGAACCUGUCUACUGUGUGCCAUACCCUAGAUGUGUUUUCCUUUCCAAGGCUGUCAUUUUGCUUGUGCAUGCAAGGCUUUUGUGGAUGUGACAGUUCUAGUAGAGGAUCACAGGGACAUGUGCACCUCUGACUAAGAUUGUCCUCCUCCACCAUGAACACAACUUUCAGAGGAUGUAAGUAGAAUGGUAAGUGAGGAAGGAGGCAACCACUCAUUAGAGAAAUAUUUUCCAUAUCAGUCCUUGAAAUGGGGCCAGGCACAGUGGCUCACAACUGUAAUCCCAGCAUUUAGGAGGCCGAGGAAGGAGGAUUGCUUGAGGCCAGGAGUUUGAGAUCAGCCUGGCAACAUAGGGAGACUCUGUCUCUAUUAAAAAAAACCUUAAAACAAUUAGCUGGGCAUGAUGGUGCAUGCCUGUGGUCCUAGCUACUCAGGAGGCUGAUGCAGGAGGAUCACUUGAGCCUAGGUGUUCAAGGCUGCAGUGAGCUAUGAUGGCACUACUAAACUCCAGUCUGAGUGACAGAGUGAGACCCUCUCUAAAAAAACAAACAAACAAAAAAACUUUGAAAUGAAUGGAGCAAAAGAUAUCUCAGACAGACCCCAUACUCUUCCUAAAGGGAUUUAGGUAUGCCCCAUUUCAGCAUGAACGUACGUCUAGAAAAUACAAAAGGAGGAAGAAUGUUCUGUCCAGUGUUUUAUUUGUGCAAAUGACGGGAUUUCUAAAGCUUUUCAACAACACAACAGUUGGCUGUAUUCAAAAUCAGCCGAUAGUAAGCAGGUACCUUGUCCUCUAAAGGUUUCUAGAAGGCUACAUGGUCUGUAUUUGGUCAUCCUGAUUUAAUUCCCUAUUUUUCUGAUAGAGAAGGAAUGUCGCUCUCUGUAGAAAUAUGUGUCCUAAAAGUCCCUUGGCUACUCUGAUUGAAAAAAGAAACAUGUUUGCAGGACUAAGCUAAGAUGUUGAGAUAAGAAUGAACACAGUGGUCACAACAGAUAAACAGGAGGAGGAAAGGAGCUGAUGAAAAUGGGAAUGCUUUCUUUUUUUUUUCUGUCUUUACAGUUGCCUUGCAGAGGCGCUAAACCCCAUAACUAUGUUUAUAUUCUGAUGAUGUAAGACAUUGCUUCCAAAGAGAUAGCAGUUUCCAUAGAGCUGAAUCUAUGGGAGCACAUAUUAAUCUCUUUUUUAUUUUAGGAGGAAGAGAAUCACAUCACAGAAAAGUCGUGAAAUGAUUGAAAUGUUCUUUUCUGUUCCCCCAAAGCAUCAUUAAAUGUAUGUUUCAAUCUCCUAAUAUAAUCUGAUUAACAUAUAUGCUUGACAUGAUUCAUUAGAAUAAUGACAAUGGGAAUUUCCAAGGAACACUUAUUCUGUGCCAGGGACAGUGCUAGCCACUCGACAUGAAUUAUUUCACUUAAUCUUCUCAGUAAUUUAGUUGAGAAAAUUGAGACUCUGAUUUUAAGUGAUUUUUCUAAGGCCGUGUACAUAAUGCAUAGGUUUGAAUUCCAUGUGUCUUUGACUGCAGAAUCCAUGCUAGGCCACACCUCCUAGCUCUAAAACAGCAAUAAUAUAUCAUAAGAAAGGGACCAGGAGAUGAAAGGGGGCAGGAAUUGGCAUCUGCCCAGUACUUGGUCUAUAUCAGGUACAUUACAUGUUUUCGCAUGCCCAACUUUACAUAAUUAAUAAGUAGGUGAGCUAAGAUUUAACACCAAAUGGAUCUGCUUUCAUAGUUCACUCAUGUUCCCUCAAGUGGACUUUCUGCCUGAUUACUUUAGGUGAGUUUAAAAAAAUUAAAAUAGGUAUUAAAGUUAAAUUUAGGGACCACCUAAUCCUGAAGCUAACCAAAAACAGUAUUGGGAAUUAAACUUAAGACACUGAUAUCCUGAUUAUCUAUUGCUGCAUAACAAGUUACCCCAAAGUGUGGUGGCUUUAAUAUAAUAAUUUAUUAUUGUUAUUAUAAUCAUAAUUCUGUGGAUGAAAAACUCAGGUGGAACACAGUGCAACAGCAUGCUUCUUUUCUUCUCUUUCGCUGUUAUUUAUUUAUUUAAGUUUUAACUGACACGUAGUAACUAUACAUAUUUAUGUGGUAAAGUGUGAUGUUUCAAUAAAGGCAUGCAUUGUGCAAUGAUCAAAUCGGGGUAUUUAACAUAGUCAUCACCACAUACAUUUAUCUUUUCUUUGUGAUGAGAACAUUUCAAAAUCCUCUCUUCUAACUAUUUUGAAAUAUACAAGACAAUAUUAUCAACCAUAGUCUCCCUACUGUGCAAUACAACACCAGAACUUAUUCCUUCUGUCUAACUGUAACUUUGUACCCACUGACCAACAUCUCUGCAUGCCUCAGGAUGUCUUGCUUCUGCUCAGCAAUGUCUGGAGUCUCAGAUGGGAAGACUUGAAUGGUUGGGGGCUGAAACAGCUGAAGGCUGGAUGGGUAUCUCUCUCUUACUCUGCCUUUAUCUCUCUCUCUCUCUCACUGUCUCUCUCUCUCCAAAAUAGCAAGCUUAGGCUUCCUCACAAUAUGGCAAUCUCAGGUUAGUUGGACAUCUUAAACCGCAGCAGAGCUUCAGAGUGUUCCAAGUAUUUCAAGAAAAGGAAGUGACAUCUACCAGUCUCUUAAGGCCUGGACCAAGAAACGGAU
This 5684-nucleotide long non-coding RNA is filed under the name Homo sapiens (human). RNAcentral's name for it is "HSALNT0160547". The record is from RNAcentral. Lineage: Eukaryota; Metazoa; Chordata; Mammalia; Primates; Hominidae.